AAUCAACGCUGGCGGCGUGCCUCAGACAUGCAAGUCGAACGCGAAAGUCCCCUUCGGGGGAUGAGUAGAGUGGCGUCCGGGUGAGUAACACGUAGGUAAUCUACCUUUGGGUGGGAAUAACCCCGAGAAAUCGGGGCUAAUACCGCAUAAUGCAGCGGCACCACAUGGUGACAGUUGUUAAAGCGGGGGAUCGCAAGACCUCGCGCCUAAAGAGGAGCCUGCGGCGGAUUAGCUAGNGGUAGGGUAACGGCCUACCAAGGCAACGAUCCGUAGCCGGCCUGAGAGGGCGGUCGGCCACACUGACACUGAAAUACGGGUCAGACUCCUACGGGAGGCAGCAGUCGGGAAUUUUGGGCAAUGGGCGAAAGCC
Molecule: ribosomal RNA, 370 nt
Filed under: uncultured bacterium
Lineage: Bacteria
Description: bacterial SSU rRNA
Rfam family: Bacterial small subunit ribosomal RNA
Source: RNAcentral